GGUUCUAAUAUUGUUCAAAAUGUUCAUCCUAGAAACUCUUCAGAGGCUCAAAAUUCAAAUGGUGUCAUUUGUAGAUCUGGAAGUGCAAACCGUGACCGACAGUUCAGAAAUCAACAGAAGUGGCUCUUAUUCUUGCGGCAUGCUCGCCGAUGUACGGCUCCAGAAGGGAAAUGUUCAGAUGUUAAUUGCAUUACUGUGCAAAAGCUGCUGAGACAUUUGGACAAAUGCAAUUCAUCUCCAUGCCCAUAUCCUCGAUGCCAUCAUACCAGGAUAUUGAUUCAUCACAACAAGUACUGCAGGGAUGCAGUUUGUCCUGUUUGUAUUCCUGUCAAAAAUUAUAUAGAGGCACAAAUGAGGGCACACACUCAUCCAAGCUCAGAUUCUGGUUUUCCUAGCAAAUCCAACAAUGCUGGUGAUAAUUCAGCUAAAUUCAUUUCAAAAAAUCCAGCUGUUGUUGAAAUUUCUGAAGAACUGCAUCCUUCCCUAAAGCGCAUGAAAAUAGAGCAGUCCCCCCAAUCUUUUAAACCCGAUAAUGAAACUGCUGCUGUAUCUGCUUCUGUAACCACUGAUUCUCACACAUCUCAGGAUGUCCAGCAGCAAGAUUACAAACAGUGUGACACUGGUAUGCCAGUUAAGUCUGAGUACAUGGAAGUAAAGUUGGAAGUUCCUCUAAAUUCUGGACAAGGGAGUCCUAGUAAUAAUGAGAUGAAAAAGGAUAUCAUGGAUAAUAACAGCCAAAAGCCUGAUGGUGAAUCUGCUGUACAAGAUGAGUCUACUAGUUUAUCAAAGCAAGAGAGCGUCAAAGUUGAGAAAGAAACUGAUCCAGGAAAGCAAGAAAAUUCUGGACAACCUGCUGAUAAUGCAGCUGGAACCAAGUCUGGAAAGCCAAAAACAAAGGGUGUAUCACUGACUGAACUGUUCACACCUGAACAAGUCAGGGAGCAUAUUAUAGGCCUCAGACAAUGGGUUGGCCAGAGUAAGGCAAAGGCAGAAAAGAACCAAGCAAUGGAGCAAUCGAUGAGUGAGAACUCUUGUCAAUUGUGUGCAGUUGAAAAGCUUACAUUUGAACCACCACCAAUAUACUGCACUCCCUGUGGUGCGCGCAUUAAGCGAAAUGCAAUGUAUUAUACUGUGGGAGCUGGUGAUACACGGCAUUACUUCUGCAUUCCAUGCUAUAAUGAGGCUCGUGGAGACACUAUUGUUGUUGAUGGGAGUGCCAUCCCAAAGGCAAAGCUUGAGAAGAAGAAAAAUGAUGAGGAGACUGAAGAAUGGGUGUGUCAAUGCAUUGCCUUGCUUGUCGUUAUUUUGCAUGGUAAUUUCAAAUAAAUUGACUUACUUUCUUGUCCUAUGAUACUCAUGCAGUGGGUUCAAUGUGAUAAAUGUGAAGCCUGGCAACAUCAAAUUUGUGCUUUAUUUAAUGGUCGAAGAAAUGAUGGUGGGCAAGCUGAAUAUACCUGCCCUAAUUGCUACAUAUCAGAGAUUGAAAGAGGAGAUCGUAAGCCUUUACCACAGAGUGCGGUUCUUGGGGCCAAAGAUCUACCAAGAACAAUACUUAGUGACCACAUAGAGCAACGAUUAUUCAGGAAAUUGAAGCAGGAAAGACAGGAGAGGGCCAGGAUUCAAGGAAAAAGUUAUGAUGAGGUUCCUGGAGCAGAAGCACUUGUAAUUCGAGUUGUUUCUUCAGUUGACAAAAAGUUGGAAGUGAAGCAGCGUUUUCUUGAAAUUUUCCGGGAAGAAAAUUACCCAACCGAGUUCCCUUAUAAGUCCAAGGUGAUUUUGUUGUUUCAGAAGAUCGAAGGUGUGGAGGUAUGCCUAUUUGGCAUGUAUGUCCAAGAAUUUGGAUCGGAAUGUCAAUUUCCAAAUCAGCGCCGUGUCUAUCUGUCGUAUCUGGAUUCUGUGAAGUAUUUUAGACCUGAGAUUAAAGCAGUGACAGGGGAGGCUCUCCGUACAUUUGUUUACCAUGAAAUUUUGAUUGGAUACCUUGAAUACUGCAAGAAGAGAGGUUUUACGAGCUGCUAUAUAUGGGCUUGCCCUCCGUUAAAGGGUGAAGACUACAUAUUAUAUUGUCAUCCAGAAAUCCAGAAAACACCAAAGUCUGAUAAACUCCGGGAGUGGUAUUUGUCGAUGCUAAGAAAAGCCUCUAAGGAAAAUAUUGUGGUUGACUUAACUAAUUUAUAUGAUCAUUUCUUUGUAUCUAUUGGUGAAUGUAAGGCAAAGGUAACAGCUGCAAGGUUGCCAUACUUUGAUGGUGACUAUUGGCCUGGUGCUGCAGAGGAUUUAAUUUAUCAGCUUAACCAAGAAGAAGAUGGCAGAAAACUGAACAAGAAGGGAACUACCAAAAAGACCAUUACAAAAAGGGCUCUAAAAGCUUCUGGUCAGUCAGAUCUUUCUGGUAACGCGUCGAAGGAUCUGCUACUAAUGCAUAAACUUGGUGAGACAAUAUGCCCAAUGAAGGAAGACUUUAUCAUGGUUCAUUUACAGCAUUGCUGCACCCACUGUUGUAUUUUAAUGGUAUCUGGAAACCGCUGGGUUUGCAACCAGUGCAAAAAUUUUCAGAUUUGUGAUAAUUGUUACGAGGCUGAACAGAAACGUGAAGAAAGGGAACGACAUCCUGUCAAUCAAAGGGAGAAACACGUACUGUAUCCAGUUGAAAUCACUGAUGUACCUGCUGAUACAAAGGAUAAAGAUGAAAUUCUUGAGAGUGAAUUCUUUGACACAAGGCAAGCAUUCUUGAAUCUUUGUCAGGGAAAUCAUUAUCAGUAUGAUACUCUACGCCGGGCUAAGCAUUCCUCAAUGAUGGUCCUUUACCAUCUCCAUAAUCCAACUGCCCCUGCUUUUGUUACAACAUGCAGUAUAUGCCAUCUUGACAUUGAAACAGGUCAAGGUUGGCGCUGUGAAGUUUGUCCUGAUUAUGAUGUAUGCAAUGCUUGUUAUCAAAAGGAUGGGGGUAUUGAUCAUCCUCAUAAGUUGACAAAUCAUCCAUCAAUGGCUGAUCGUGAUGCCCAGAACAAAGAAGCUAGGCAACUAAGGGUUUUACAGCUUAGGAAAAUGCUUGAUCUUCUGGUGCAUGCAUCACAAUGCCGUUCCCCGCAGUGCCAAUAUCCAAAUUGUCGUAAGGUGAAGGGGCUUUUCGGGCAUGGGAUUCAAUGCAAGACACGUGCUUCUGGAGGUUGUGUUCUGUGCAAGAAAAUGUGGUAUCUCUUGCAACUUCAUGCUCGGGCCUGCAAAGAAUCUGAAUGCCAUGUACCACGUUGCAGAGAUUUAAAAGAACAUUUGAGAAGGCUGCAGCAGCAGUCUGAUUCACGGCGAAGGGCUGCUGUGAUGGAGAUGAUGAGACAGAGAGCUGCAGAGGUUGCUGGUAACUCUGGGUAACCAUUUUGUACAUAUUAAUAUGGUUGUUUUGGAGGUAAGGCUUCCAGAUAAAGAGGGAGGUAGACCAUAUGUUUCUCUGCUUCUCCAUUAGGCACUGCUUGGAAUUAAGCAGUUCAGGAAAAGUAGCAAGGCAUAGGUGUUCAGAAGGGAUAAGCAUACAAUAGUACAGCAUAUUGGUUUAUGAUCAUGACUGUUAGGGAACAAUUUUUUUCAUUUGUCUCCAGAGCUUAUUUUCCCUACAAAGAAAGCAAGUGAAAUUCAUCGGCCGCCGCAGCUGCCUACUUCAUCAUCAGCAGCUAACUAUUUCCCUCAAGAGUAUAGGAUUACUGAUGUGUGCUAGUCAGUGGCGUAAUUUGGUGAUUCUUUGAUUUUAUCCUCUUGUAUCAGUUUAAUGCCAUCCUUGGUGGCGAGUGUACUAUAAUUGUUCUAAUUUGUCUGUGAAUGUUUUUCUUACAAAGGAAUGAUGGAGGUUAGUUUUGUUACCCUCUCUUGCUCUUAUUAUUAUUUUUUUUAAUCCCCGCAAAUAUUUGACCCAUAUUGUCUUGUUAUUAAAAGUUGGAAGAAAUAAGUAUAUUCUGUAACUGCUGCAAUCUGAUUGCAUUCAUUUUCUUGUAUUUUAUAUAGAUUCUAUGCCCCGCAAGGUGCUUUUAUUUUUGGGUAAACUUUCCAAUUGGCAUUUGACCGAAACUGUG
This 4064-nucleotide unclassified non-coding RNA is filed under the name Hevea brasiliensis (rubber tree). Lineage: Eukaryota; Viridiplantae; Streptophyta; Magnoliopsida; Malpighiales; Euphorbiaceae. The record is from RNAcentral.